AAGGCGAUGGAGUUCGCCGGAACCGUUCGUUUGAUCGAACUGAUGACUCCUACCAG
RNAcentral lists this non-coding RNA (56 nucleotides) under Paenibacillus phocaeensis. RNAcentral describes it as "Fluoride riboswitch". It matches the Rfam family "Fluoride riboswitch aptamer (crcB RNA motif)", at positions 8 to 61 of the family's 64-position model. Lineage: Bacteria; Bacillati; Bacillota; Bacilli; Caryophanales; Paenibacillaceae. The record is from RNAcentral.